Molecule: non-coding RNA, 4035 nt
Organism: Oryza sativa Japonica Group (Japanese rice)
Lineage: Eukaryota; Viridiplantae; Streptophyta; Magnoliopsida; Poales; Poaceae
Source: RefSeq, a predicted model, not a curated record
UCAAGCCCAAUAAAUUUCCCCUUUGCAGCUUCCCUCUUCUCUCCAUUUUCGAAUUCUCUCCGCGAAAACUCAAUUCCCCCACCCAUCGAUCGAGCUCGCCGUCUCCGAUGGCGGCGGAGGCGGAGGCGGAGCCGCGGCGGUGGGCGGCGACGUACACGAAGCACGUGAAGCAGAAGCGCAAGGCGUACCAGGACGGCGCCAUCGUCCUCCACCGCGCCUCCGUCAACCUCGUCCUCCUCGACGACGCGGGCGGCACCGUCGAGUGCAGGACGCUCCGCACCGGCGAGGAGGUGUUCCCCGGCGCCUCGCUCGCGUUCCAGCGCCACCUCGUCGACGUCGGCGAGCCCGAGCCCCACCCCGGGUCGGGGUCCUCCUCCGCCGCCGCAUCCCCCGCUUCCCGAGGCGUCCACCGCGGCGGCGCAAGCGCCAGGGCGCGUCCCAGCGCGGUGAACUCGCGGCCUCCCCGUGCGUUCGCGGACCCUAACACGAAGGGGGGUGGCGGUGGCGGUGGCAAGGAUGAAGCCGUGGGUUCGAGUUUCCAAGAGUGGACCGCACUGUACACCACCCAGCUGACUCAGAAGGCGAAGAAGUUCCAUGAUGGUGUCGUCAGGCUCGCGCAGGUCAGUUCGCACGCGAAGCAGAUAAUUUUGCUGGAUGAAGAGGGCGGAGUGCUAGCCACCAGGUACCUCAAGUCAGGGGAAUCUUUGGAAACUGGGAAGAAAUGUCAUUUCCCUAACUAUCUUAUUGAGAUUUGUGAGGCGAAGAGUGUAAACAAAGGUUUACAAACUAAUUCCUCGGAGGAACCUAUGGUGCAAACAAGACCAAGGAGUGGGGAGAAUACAAGUAACAAAACAGGAUCAGGUCCAACGAGUAAACCACUCAAAUUUACCAGUCCACAGAAAUUUCAUGAUCUUGAGGACAGUAAAUCAUCAAAUACUGCUGGUUCAAGUAAGCCAGAAACUUCAAAGAUUGGAGUUGUGGAUGCUGGUAGCUCAGGAAGCAUUAUGGGUUCAACAGACUCUGAAUUUAAAGAAUGGAGUGCCUUAUAUACCACCCAACUAACACAGAAGGCAAAGAAGUACCAUGAUGGUGUGAUAAAGCUUGUGCAAGUUGGUUCGCAUGCAAAGCAGAUUGUUCUGCUGGAUGAAGAUGGUGGAGUGCUUGGCAGCAGAUAUCUCAAGUCAGGUGAAUCUGUUGAAAGCGGGAUGAAAUACCAGUUGCCUAAUUAUCUUAUCGAAGUUUGUGAGAUAAGAAAACAAAAGAAUGAUGUAGAGUCUAAACACCCUUCAGAGGUGGUUUUGAGUCAAACUGGAUCAGCGAAUGGACAUAAUACAACUGACAGGACAGAUGGGAGAAACAAAUCUCCAAAAUUUGUCAGUCCACUGAAGUUCAAUCAUUUUCAAAAGAGUAGAUUACAAGGUAGUAAUGGUUUCAACAGGCCAACGGUUGCCAAAUCAAUACAUACUAACAUGAUUGAUACACUAAAAUUUCAUGAUACUCAGAAGGCUAAACCAGAUUUUACUGUUGGCUACAAGACAGACCUUGGCAAAUCAACAUUUAGUAACUUGGAUGAUCCACAUCAAUUUAAUGUUUUUGCAGAUAAUAAGCAAGAUAAAACAGAAUAUGCUGCAAGCUAUAAUCCACAAGAAGUUGGCAAAUCAAGUUAUGAUAGAGUGGACAGUCCUCUAGGAUUCUGUGAUCUUCAGGAUGGUAAAUCAGGAUCUUCCACUAGUUUUUUGAGGAGAGAGGCUGGCAGAACAACUUUUGGUAACACGGAUGAUUCUUUGAGAACUGCAUCCCAAAUACUGUCUAUCAUGAGGCCCCCAUCGGAAAUUAAAUACUCCCAAAGUGUUCCAGCUUCACAAGUACACUCCUCAGCAUCCUUUGGAUCAAAUAUAGCUCGUGAUGCGGAUCAUAGCAAGACAGCUUCUAACAUUUCAGUGAUCAACAGUUCAAACAGAACUAUUGGUGUUAAUAUGAACUCUCGAAUGUCUCAUUGUGCUACACAACUUCGUGCAUCAGUGCUGGCUUGUUUAAAUUUAGAAACUCUGCAGCCAAGGAACUCAAUAUGCACUACUCUUCAGAGUGAGUUAUCAGGGAGUGCCCAUCCAACUUAUGAUCAUCAGACAGUCAUGAGACCAACAACUUUUGAUAGUCUGGAAUUGGACAUGGUGGAUACCCCAACAUCUGAUGUAUCCAAUGCAAAAGAGCAGAGUCAAGGUUCAACAAGGAACCAUCAAACUGAAAGUUCUAAAGAUUCUGCACCAGCUAUGUGUACUACUAGCUCAGACCCUCCAUCGGGUAAAGGUGAAACUGCAGACCAGCUCAGUUCAGAUUACAGAGUGGUGGAAGAAAAAUGUGGCAGUUACCCCUUUUUAUCUGCAGGCGACCUGACGUUAACAGAUGAUGAUUGCCCUUCGUUUGAUCUUGGCUUCUAGCGGAAGGGUUUCGUUGAGGGAUUCCUUGGCCUUCUUAAACUCAAUCUGUUCACUGCUUAAGGAGAAUGGAUGGCGUGAAGGCGCACUCUGCGUUGUAAGUUGCAACAAAACAAUGGGCAGGUUCACAUCUAUCUUUGGCGUUUCGUUUUGUCCAAUUGGUCAAUUGGGCUCGCUCUCAAGUUUGCAUUCAAUUCAAAAUGUAGCACUUGGCAACAUCCAAAGGUGCUACUUGGCCAGCCAGCCAGCCAACUUCCCAAAUGCUUAAUCAUGGUAUAGAAAAGGUCUGUUAUGCGCUCACCUCUCAUGCAUAAGCCCAAACCACACACAAUAAAGAAAAAAAGAGGAACGCCACGUAAACGUAAACAUGAGGCAUCGUAGAUUUUUAUGACUUUUAAUACCGUGAAGAAAUUAUUACUAUAUAUUUUUAAUUUUUAUGAGUUACUCCCUCUAUGUCUCAACCACUUUUUUUCUCUGUCUCAUGAUAUAAUGCGUGCAUGCAUGUAUACAUUAACUAGCACCUCGUACUCUAAAUUUGCUCCUCGUACUCCAAAUUUGCUCUGUUUUAAAUCCUCUAACAUCAACCCCCCUCACAUUACUUGCAUGCAUCAAUGUGAUCUAACCGAGGAAGUGAUUAAAUUAUUUUUUUGGUCUUUGUGUUAGUGAUAGUUGUGCUUCAUAUUUUGGAAUAUAGUACUUUCCUAGUAGUGUAGUUGCCUCUUAUAUCAUUGAGAGUUAUUCUAUUUUUUAUAGUUAUUUCCCUAUAACAAUAUCGUUCCUUUUAAUAUCGUGAAAAGUUACUUCUUAUAUCAAGAAAAAUAAUAUAGUGAUUACUUCAAAUAAGAAAAUCCAUGUAUAUAAUUAUGAAUAUUCUCUACAUUUUACUUAUGAAUUUACUUCAUAUAGUUUCUUAUUUCCAACUUAUCCCUAUGUAAUUACUUUAGCAUUAUUUUAUGAAAAGUUACUUCUCAACUGAGUUACUUUUAUAAUGUGAGCAAAUUACUAUUAAAUAUUUAAAAAUAAUUAAUAUUAAAGUCGUUUUAUCAUACCUUUUAAGUAGAGUAAGAUGGUUUAAAUGGAAUUUAUAAAUAAUACAUGGUUUGAAAUAUAUAAACCAUCAAAGGUUUGUAUUAAGAAAAAAUAGAUUAGUGAUGUUGGUUCUAUGUAUCAAACCUUUAAUUUAACUAGUACAACCCAAUUAGCCAGUGACAUAUCUGGUCAACCCACUAACAGAUUAUACUAACAUUUUUGGAUUGGAAGGAGGGCACUAGGGUUGUGCCGUAAGUUUAAAUAGUGCACGCGAACUAAUUAAAUUUCACUAUAAAUUUGCAAUAUCUCAUAAAAUUACUUAAUGUAAAAUUAGUGUCCCGAUUUUAAAAUUAUGACUUAUCACUAACAGACUUAUGAUGUAUUGGCAAUGCAUAUUACAAUUUGUUUUGGGCUUAUUUGAUAUCCACCUCUUUUAAUGCUGGAACCCAAUUAAACUGUUGUAACUCAACUUAAAAAAAAAUGGAAUGGGUUAAAAUGAUUUAAAAUAUAACUAAAGAGAUGGAUCGAGAUUCAAGCCGCUUCAUAACUUUAUUCUAAAGUUCACUCUCAA